UAACAAGGCAUAUCAAUAAGCGGAGGAGCAUAUCAAUAACGGAGGAGCAUAUCGGUAACGGAGGAGCAUAUCUCAUAACGGAGGAGCAUU
RNAcentral lists this ribosomal RNA (90 nucleotides) under uncultured Greenland glacial ice fungus IM60-1. Its description in RNAcentral is "partial 5.8S ribosomal RNA". Lineage: Eukaryota; Fungi; Ascomycota. The record is from RNAcentral.